Camellia sinensis is the source of this 856-nucleotide long non-coding RNA. RefSeq lists it as uncharacterized. The record is from RefSeq and is a predicted model, not a curated record. NCBI's taxonomy places the organism in Eukaryota, Viridiplantae, Streptophyta, Magnoliopsida, Ericales, Theaceae.
AUUUUUGGGGGUGUUUCAUUGCUGAUGGGCUUGGAUCCACUUUGGGGUUUAUAUUGCCUUUUCCUUGGGUUUUGUUGUCUCCGGGAACUCUAUUUUCCUUGGUAUGUUAGCAGAAUUAUUCCUCUGUUUGUAGGUCAGGCCCGUGAGAGGCCACGACCAGGCCGCGACGAAACACCCCUUUCAGGUCCAUGUGUGGGGCGAAGGUGCGUGGCCCGCGAGGGUUCCCUCGAUUUGUAAUCGCACCCGCGAUAGUUGAUCUUCGCGCCACGAUGUGUCUGUCUAUAUAUACCUCCAAAAGCUGAAAAUAUUAUUUUCUUGUGCUCAUCUUCUCCAUUUCUAUCUACAAUCGCCAUUUUCGUAACUUUUGAGCUUUACCCUUGGUUUUCAUCUAGUUAUACCUAUCUCCUUCCCCUAGUGUUUUGGGCUUUAAUGUAGAGCAAGUUGGGGACUACGUUUUAAUCUAAAAAUUUCAAGUUUCGGCAUUGUUGGUUUUCGAGUGUUCUUCAGCUGCUCCUUAAGCUUUGAGUAUGUUUGAAGGCACCAAAGAAAGGUUUUCUCAAAGUUUUUCGUAAAGGCUCUAUUUGGCUAUGGAUAAAGAGUGGUAUUGUUGGAGGUUGGAAAAGAGUGGUUUGACAUGGAAAAUCUCUAAUUUGUUUUAUUGAAAUCAAUGAGUUGCUUUGUUGGAAAAGAUUUAUUUUGUUGGAAAAUUGUUGAGUUGUGGAGCAUGCUAGACUCACAAUGGAACAGUGGAAAAUAUGACAUUUUGUUGAUAUGUUGAGAAUGAUGAGUUAUGCUACUGUUAUCUAUAUUGUCCAUUUUGGAAUAUAUUGAAUAAAGAUAACUACUUUGGCUAUCA